CUUCCUGAUCAUCGUUCUUGUCGAUCCGAAAAUCAAAAUACCAGCGUGAUAUUGCCUCGAAUAUGAAGCAGUUAUGUAAUUUGAUUCGUACUUCGCAUUCGAGUCGAAGCUUGGGUGGCACAGGUUAUUUCUUACGGUGAAAUCGACGAGGGGAACUCGAACACCAGUUGUAGUGUUUGAAUUGUUGGAAGAAAUGGUCGCAUGGGAAUGUAGGAAUGAUCUACCUGCUUGAUUUAUAUCGGCUACGCUUCAUGUUUACAAGUCCCUCAAAAUGGCAGCCAAACUUGGAGAUUGCCGAAAAUUAGGAAAGUGUUUGGAGGUCGAAAUGUGAAGUGUUUUCUGGGAUAGCUGAGCUGCAAUUUUCUUUUUGACACCAAUUCUCAAAUAUCUUCUUUCAGAUUUGAAUGAUUAAUAAAGUUGAAAUCAAAAUUAAGUAAUCAUCAUAGGUCAAUGUAGGAAAAAUUUGGGCCUUGACAACUGUGAAGCGAACUUUACGCACUCUCUGCAAGCAACGAAUAAUAAAAGCAGGGAUUUGGUUCGUUUCCUUUCAUAACUCCUCAUAAUCAAUCGAAAGUUUAAAGACAUGUAAAACCGACGAACAAUUGAGGUUGAAAACGCUCUUCUUUAUUCAUCUCAUGUUUUUGUACAAGAGAGACUCACACUGAUACUGACAAACCCAGUAAUCCUCAAACCUCGAGGACUCUUGCCACGGCAUGUUCUUCCAGUUGAAACUUCAAACCUUCCUUAUCAAGGUUGGUUUUUACAAGGCGAAGAUCCACAAAAUGGCUCGGUGGCAUCUCGUGUAUCACUUUCUUGGCCCUGGAGGAAAAAAAAAUCAAGAGUGCUCCGUGAUUUCUCGCUGAAAUAGGAAGUAUAGAUAUUGAGUCACCUACUCCGACGCCCUGGUAACCACAAAGAUGAAGACAGUUUCCAAACAGCGCGCUUGAGUUGUAAUUAUGAUCGUAAGCGAUCAGAAUAAUUUCAGAGAAAUGUCUACAAAUGGACAUUUAUCCAGCUUUGCAGUUUUGUAAUCCGAUGCUGUUGAAAAGUUAUGAUCACAAAAUUCGGAAAUUUAAGCGAAUUUGACAAAUGAAGAAACGUGCAAACCUCGGAGGUGACUCUAAACUGUCGGGUGCACUGCUUCUGAAUAUAUGAGUUAUGUUCGCCGCUUCUUAGUACGUAAUUUCAUAACAAUGUACUGAAUUUAUACUGCAAAGUUACAUAACAGUUGGUGCCUUUUUGGGGACUCGGGAGGGAAACCCAUUAAGAUCAAGUCAGAUACAAGUCUGUACACAGCAGUCGA
Molecule: non-coding RNA, 1303 nt
Organism: Pocillopora verrucosa
Lineage: Eukaryota; Metazoa; Cnidaria; Anthozoa; Scleractinia; Pocilloporidae
Source: RefSeq, a predicted model, not a curated record